CUACGGGCGGCAGCAGUGAGGAAUAUUGCACAAUGGGGGGAACCCUGAUGCAGCAACGCCGCGUGGAGGAUGACGCAUUUCGGUGCGUAAACUCCUUUUAUAUGUCAAGAAAAUGACGGUAGCAUAUGAAUAAGCACCGGCUAACUCCGUGCCAGCAGCCGCGGUAAUACGGAGGGUGCAAGCGUUACUCGGAAUCACUGGGCGUAAAGGACGCGUAGGCGGGUUGGAAAGUCAGGUGUGAAAUCCUACAGCUUAACUGUAGAACCGCACUUGAAACUUCUAAUCUAGAGUAUGGGAGGGGGAGAUGGAAUUAGUGGUGUAGGGGUAAAAUCCGUAGAUAUCACUAGGAAUACCUAAAGCGAAGGCGAUCUCCUGGAACAUUACUGACGCUAAGGCGUGAAAGCGUGGGGAGCAAACAGGAUUAGAUACCCUCGUAGUC
RNAcentral lists this ribosomal RNA (439 nucleotides) under uncultured bacterium. RNAcentral describes it as "partial 16S ribosomal RNA". It matches the Rfam family "Bacterial small subunit ribosomal RNA", at positions 339 to 795 of the family's 1533-position model. The record is from RNAcentral.